CCUACGGGUGGCAGCAGUGAGGAAUAUUGGUCAAUGGCCGGAAGGCUGAACCAGCCAAGCCGCGUGAAGGACGAAGGUGCCAAGCAUUGUAAACUUCUUUUGUCAAGGGACAAAAUCAGGCUCGAGAGCCUGACCGAGGGUACUUUAAGAACAAGCAUCGGCUAACUCCGUGCCAGCAGCCGCGGUAAUACGGAGGAUGCGAGCGUUAUCCGGAUUUAUUGGGUUUAAAGGGUGCGUAGGCGGACUGUUAAGUCAGCGGUAAAAGCCCGGGGCUCAACCCCGGCCUGCCGUCGGAACUGGGUGCCUUGAGUGGGCGAGAAGUAUGCGGAAUGCGUGGUGUAGCGGUGAAAUGCAUAGAUAUCACGCAGAACCCCGAUUGCGAAGGCAGCAUACCGGCGCCCUACUGACGCUGAGGCACGAAAGUGUGGGUAUCGAACAGGAUUAGAUACCCUUGUAGUC
This 459-nucleotide ribosomal RNA is filed under the name uncultured bacterium. RNAcentral's name for it is "partial 16S ribosomal RNA". It matches the Rfam family "Bacterial small subunit ribosomal RNA", at positions 338 to 795 of the family's 1533-position model. The record is from RNAcentral.